RNAcentral lists this ribosomal RNA (497 nucleotides) under uncultured bacterium. Its description in RNAcentral is "partial 16S ribosomal RNA". It matches the Rfam family "Bacterial small subunit ribosomal RNA", at positions 28 to 507 of the family's 1533-position model. The record is from RNAcentral.
GAUGAACGCCGGCGGCGUGCCUAAUACAUGCAAGUCGAGCGAACAGACGAGGAGCUUGCUCCUCUGACGUUAGCGGCGGACGGGUGAGUAACACGUGGAUAACCUACCUAUAAGACUGGGAUAACUUCGGGAAACCGGAGCUAAUACCGGAUAAUAUAUUGAACCGCAUGGUUCAAUAGUGAAAGACGGUUUUGCUGUCACUUAUAGAUGGAUCCGAGCCGCAUUAGCUAGUUGGUAAGGUAACGGCUUACCAAGGCAACGAUGCGUAGCCGACCUGAGAGGGUGAUCGGCCACACUGGAACUGAGACACGGUCCAGACUCCUACGGGAGGCAGCAGUAGGGAAUCUUCCGCAAUGGGCGAAAGCCUGACGGAGCAACGCCGCGUGAGUGAUGAAGGUCUUCGGAUCGUAAAACUCUGUUAUUAGGGAAGAACAAAUGUGUAAGUAACUAUGCACGUCUUGACGGUACCUAAUCAGAAAGCCACGGCUAACUACGUG